Molecule: unclassified non-coding RNA, 520 nt
Filed under: uncultured Glomus
Lineage: Eukaryota; Fungi; Glomeromycota; Glomeromycetes; Glomerales; Glomeraceae
Description: SSU rRNA
Rfam family: Eukaryotic small subunit ribosomal RNA
Source: RNAcentral
AGCAGCCGCGGUAAUUCCAGCUCCAAUAGCGUAUAUUAAAGUUGUUGCAGUUAAAAAGCUCGUAGUUGAAUUUCGGGAUCAAUUAAUCGGUCAUGCCUCUGGUACGCACUGGUUUUAUUGGUUUCUCCCUUCUGACGAACCAGGAUGUCAUUAAUUUGGUGUCUUGGAGAAUCAGGACUGUUACUUUGAAAAAAUUUAGAGUGUUUAAAGCAGGCUAACGCUUGAAUACAUUAGCAUGGAAUAAUGAAAUAGGACGUUUGAUCCUAUUUUGUUGGUUUCUAGGAUCGACGUAAUGAUUAAUAGGGAUAGUUGGGGGCAUUAGUAUUCAAUUGUCAGAGGUGAAAUUCUUGGAUUUAUUGAAGACUAACUACUGCGAAAGCAUUUGCCAAGGAUGUUUUCAUUAAUCAAGAACGAAAGUUAGGGGAUCGAAGACGAUCAGAUACCGUCGUAGUCUUAACCAUAAACUAUGCCGACUAGGGAUCGGAUGAUGUUAAUUUUUUAAUGACUCAUUCGGCGCCUU